GGCUUCACUAGUCUCAUCCUCCGCACCCAUGCGGAGCUCGACCUCACUCGCCAAUCAGACGUUGAGUCCUUCUUUGCCUCUGAAAAGCCCGAAUUUGUUGUCUUGGCUGCUGCAAAAGUGGGUGGCAUCCAUGCUAAUAACACUUACCCAGCUGAUUUUAUAGCCAUUAAUCUCCAGAUCCAAACCAAUGUCAUUGACUCCUCUUAUCGCCAUGGCGUCAAGAAAUUGCUCUUUCUUGGUUCGUCCUGCAUUUACCCCAAGUUAGCACCCCAGCCGAUCCCUGAAAACGCCUUGCUUACAGGUCCUCUUGAGCCAACUAAUGAAUGGUAUGCUGUGGCUAAGAUCGCUGGAAUAAAAAUGUGUCAAGCCUACAGAAUUCAGUAUAAUUGGGACGCAAUUUCUGGGAUGCCCACCAAUUUGUAUGGUCCAAAUGAUAACUUCCAUCCAGAAAAUUCUCAUGUUCUCCCGGCUUUGAUGAGGAGGUUUCACGAGGCAAAGGUGAACGGGGCAAAGGAGGUGGUGGUGUGGGGAACAGGGAGUCCGUUGAGGGAGUUUCUACAUGUGGAUGAUUUGGCUGAUGCGGUAGUUUUCUUGAUGGAAAGCUACAGUGGGCUGGAGCAUGUAAAUGUGGGGAGUGGGAAGGAGGUAACGAUCAAGGAGUUGGCAGAGUCAAUGAAGGAAGUUGUGGGGUUUGAAGGGGAGCUUGUUUGGGAUACAUCAAAGCCAGAUGGAACUCCCAGGAAGCUUAUGGAUAGCUCGAAGCUGUUGGGGUUGGGGUGGAUGCCUAAAAUUUCACUUAAGGACGGGCUCAUUGAUACUUACAAGUGGUAUGCGGAG
This 837-nucleotide long non-coding RNA is filed under the name Manihot esculenta (cassava). RNAcentral describes it as "long non-coding RNA (MESC_LNC001961)". The record is from RNAcentral. Lineage: Eukaryota; Viridiplantae; Streptophyta; Magnoliopsida; Malpighiales; Euphorbiaceae.